UAGGGAAUCUUCGGCAAUGGACGAAAGUCUGACCGAGCAACGCCGCGUGAGUGAAGAAGGUUUUCGGAUCGUAAAACUCUGUUGUUAGAGAAGAACAAGGACGUUAGUAACUGAACGUCCCCUGACGGUAUCUAACCAGAAAGCCACGGCUAACUACGUGCCAGCAGCUGCGGUAAUACGUAGGUGGCAAGCGUUGUCCGGAUUUAUUGGGCGUAAAGCGAGCGCAGGCGGUUUCUUAAGUCUGAUGUGAAAGCCCCCGGCUCAACCGGGGAGGGUCAUUGGAAACUGGGAGACUUGAGUGCAGAAGAGGAGAGUGGAAUUCCAUGUGUAGCGGUGAAAUGCGUAGAUAUAUGGAGGAACACCAGUGGCGAAGGCGGCUCUCUGGUCUGUAACUGACGCUGAGGCUCGAAAGCGUGGGGAGCAAACAGG
This 429-nucleotide ribosomal RNA is filed under the name Chloroflexota bacterium. Its description in RNAcentral is "Chloroflexi bacterium partial 16S ribosomal RNA". It matches the Rfam family "Bacterial small subunit ribosomal RNA", at positions 355 to 776 of the family's 1533-position model. Lineage: Bacteria; Bacillati; Chloroflexota. The record is from RNAcentral. RNAcentral also lists the same sequence under 1 other name.